Small nuclear RNA from Jaculus jaculus (lesser Egyptian jerboa), 104 nucleotides. The record is from Ensembl. NCBI's taxonomy places the organism in Eukaryota, Metazoa, Chordata, Mammalia, Rodentia, Dipodidae.
GUGCUUGCUUCCACUGCACAUAUACUAAAAAUGAGAUGAUACAGAGAUUAGCAUGGCCCCUAAGCAAGGAUGACACGCAAAUUCAUGAAGUAUUCCACGUUAAG